UAGCAUGACCCAUCUUCCUGGUGUGCCUGGGACUGAGGGGGUCGCUGGGGCUGUCAGUGUUAAAACAGGAA
Molecule: microRNA precursor, 71 nt
Filed under: Procavia capensis (Cape rock hyrax)
Lineage: Eukaryota; Metazoa; Chordata; Mammalia; Hyracoidea; Procaviidae
Description: miRNA (ENSPCAG00000020671.1)
Source: RNAcentral